RNAcentral lists this ribosomal RNA (497 nucleotides) under uncultured bacterium. Its description in RNAcentral is "partial 16S ribosomal RNA". It matches the Rfam family "Bacterial small subunit ribosomal RNA", at positions 28 to 507 of the family's 1533-position model. The record is from RNAcentral.
GACGAACGCUGGCGGCGUGCCUAAUACAUGCCAGUUGAGCGAUGAAGAUUGGUGCUUGCCCCAAUUUGAAGAGCAGCGAACGGGUGAGUAACGCGUGGGGAAUCUGCCUUUGAGCGGGGGACAACAUUUGGAAACGAAUGCUAAUACCGCAUAACAACUUUAAACAUAAGUUUUAAGUUUGAAAGAUGCAAUUGCAUCACUCAAAGAUGAUCCCGCGUUGUAUUAGCUAGUUGGUGAGGUAAAGGCUCACCAAGGCGAUGAUACAUAGCCGACCUGAGAGGGUGAUCGGCCACAGUGGGACUGGGACACGGCCCAAACUCCUACGGGAGGCAGCAGUAGGGAAUCUUCGGCAAUGGACGAAAGUCUGACCGAGCAACGCCGCGUGAGUGAAGAAGGUUUUCGGAUCGUAAAACUCUGUGGGUAGAGAAGAACGUUGGUGAGAGUGGAAAGCUCAUCAAGUGACGGUAACUACCCAGAAAGGGACGGCUAACUACGUG